This 490-nucleotide ribosomal RNA is filed under the name uncultured bacterium. RNAcentral's name for it is "partial 16S ribosomal RNA". It matches the Rfam family "Bacterial small subunit ribosomal RNA", at positions 30 to 507 of the family's 1533-position model. The record is from RNAcentral.
AUUGAACGCUGGCGGCAGGCCUAACACAUGCAAGUCGAUCGGUAACAGGAAGCAGCUUGCUGCUUCGCUGACGAGUGGCGGACGGGUGAGUAAUGUCUGGGAAACUGCCUGAUGGAGGGGGAUAACUACUGGAAACGGUAGCUAAUACCGCAUAACGUCGCAAGACCAAAGAGGGGGACCUUAGGGCCUCUUGCCAUCGGAUGUGCCCAGAUGGGAUUAGCUAGUAGGUGGGGUAACGGCUCACCUAGGCGACGAUCCCUAGCUGGUCUGAGAGGAUGACCAGCCACACUGGAACUGAGACACGGUCCAGACUCCUACGGGAGGCAGCAGUGGGGAAUAUUGCACAAUGGGCGCAAGCCUGAUGCAGCCAUGCCGCGUGUAUGAAGAAGGCCUUCGGGUUGUAAAGUACUUUCAGCGGGGAGGAAGGGAGUAAAGUUAAUACCUUUGCUCAUUGACGUUACCCGCAGAAGAAGCGCCGGCUAACUCCGUG